RNAcentral lists this transfer RNA (83 nucleotides) under Holophagae bacterium. RNAcentral describes it as "tRNA-Leu". It matches the Rfam family "tRNA". Rfam says of the family: Transfer RNA (tRNA) molecules are approximately 80 nucleotides in length. Their secondary structure includes four short double-helical elements and three loops (D, anti-codon, and T loops). Further hydrogen bonds mediate the characteristic L-shaped molecular structure. tRNAs have two regions of fundamental functional importance: the anti-codon, which is responsible for specific mRNA codon recognition, and the 3' end, to which the tRNAs corresponding amino acid is attached (by aminoacyl-tRNA synthetases). tRNAs cope with the degeneracy of the genetic code in two manners: having more than one tRNA (with a specific anti-codon) for a particular amino acid; and 'wobble' base-pairing, i.e. permitting non-standard base-pairing at the 3rd anti-codon position. The record is from RNAcentral. Lineage: Bacteria; Pseudomonadati; Acidobacteriota; Holophagae.
GCCGGAGUGGCGGAAUGGCAGACGCAGGGGACUCAAAAUCCCCCAUCCUACGGGAUAUGAGGGUUCGACUCCCUCCUCCGGCA